CCGACCUUAGCUCAGUUGGUAGAGCGGAGGACUGUAGAUCCUUAGGUCACUGGUUCGAAUCCGGUAGUUCGGA
RNAcentral lists this transfer RNA (73 nucleotides) under Brassica napus (rape). RNAcentral's name for it is "tRNA-Tyr (GTA) (tRNA-Tyr-GTA-12-1)". It matches the Rfam family "tRNA". Rfam says of the family: Transfer RNA (tRNA) molecules are approximately 80 nucleotides in length. Their secondary structure includes four short double-helical elements and three loops (D, anti-codon, and T loops). Lineage: Eukaryota; Viridiplantae; Streptophyta; Magnoliopsida; Brassicales; Brassicaceae. The record is from RNAcentral.